AGGCCACCAGUGUGUCACCUUCCUCACUAAUUUGAUGUCUACAACUUCCUGUUGACAACAGAAGAAAAAUCAGAAAACAAAUGUUCAACACCCAGCAAAGAGCGAUAUCCUUUUCUGCAAACAGAUGCUCAGAAUAACUGGCAACAUCAAACUCAUCCAGAAGACAGAGAAUCUGACAAAAAAGAGAGCUGGAGUGAAUCACUGGAGGGGCCAGCCCUGAAGGUGCUUUCUCAUACUCUGAAGGAUGCACAGUUUGACCUGCUUUUCUAGGUGUGACCCUGUAAUCCCAAGGUGCCACCACCUUCUCUGCUUUGACCGAUCAGAAGCUCCACCAGAGCAGAAUUCAUGAGUGUAUCCACCAUGGGGGCCGCACGGGAGCAACUGCAGAAGGAAUGAUUUUAAUCUGUUCACACUUUUCUGCCCAGUUGCCUUUACAGUAUGGCAGACAUCUACAAGCCAACUGGUCUGAGCUCCACGCUUCUUGGGUGGAUCAGAAUGAACACACCAAGUCAGAGCACAGAAAAGGUAAAUUCCAAC
Non-coding RNA from Vicugna pacos (alpaca), 537 nucleotides. The record is from RefSeq and is a predicted model, not a curated record. NCBI's taxonomy places the organism in Eukaryota, Metazoa, Chordata, Mammalia, Artiodactyla, Camelidae.